Molecule: non-coding RNA, 675 nt
Organism: Biomphalaria pfeifferi
Lineage: Eukaryota; Metazoa; Mollusca; Gastropoda; Planorbidae
Source: the annotation of a GenBank genome assembly
CAGAUACCUAUUUAAAAGUAUUUAUCUAAGUCUAAGUAGCCUAUUAGAUGUUAAUUUUCUGACAAAAUUUGCAGUUCAUAUGAUUAAUUAAAUCUAAAACUGUAGAUCUAGAUAAUGGCCUGAUCACCACUCAAAAAUGCAGGGAUAUUUGGCUGAGGCAUAAACUACAAGCUAAACUGCUACUCAAAUUUAAAAUGUUCUUAAGAAAACUUUUCGGAUGAGCAAAGCAAUGUCUGUGUUUAGCACAAACUUCAUUAAUGUCCCUGAAAUGCAUAAUAUCCUUUUUAAUUGAAUAAUCCAAGAAGCAUUCUGCUGUGGCCAUCUCAGUCUUAUCACUCAACUCAGUUUUGUUUUUUUAAGAAAUCAAUGUUAGUGAACAAGCUCAAAAUUUAACGUACGGGAGUUAGAAAUCAAAAUAAUAACAGUAACAAGGAAGUUUAGGCUAGGAAGGGCAUUCAAUCGUCGACACUUUUUCUUCCCCUUUGAUUUGCUUAGCAAUAUGGAUCUACACACAAUUUGAAAUACAGCUUGGAAAAAAGUAAAUGAUUUCAGAGAGAUCAGGACUCUUAAUCAAUCGCACAAAUAUAAAAUCACUUUGAAAUGCACAUAAACAGUUUAUACUAGGUAUCGUCCAUUUGUAAAUAACAGUCCCAUGAUCCUUCUUAAAAGACAAAG